This 428-nucleotide ribosomal RNA is filed under the name uncultured bacterium. RNAcentral's name for it is "bacterial SSU rRNA". It matches the Rfam family "Bacterial small subunit ribosomal RNA", at positions 355 to 774 of the family's 1533-position model. The record is from RNAcentral.
UGGGGAAUAUUGGACAAUGGGGGGAACCCUGAUCCAGCCAUGCCGCGUGUGUGAAGAAGGCCUUAUGGUUGUAAAGCCCUUUAAGUGAGGAGGAGGCUCUCUUGGUUAAUACCCAAGACGAGUGGACGUUACUCCCAGCAUAAGCACCGGCUAACUCUGUGCCAGCAGCCGCGGUAAUACAGAGGGUGCGAGCGUUAAUCGGAUUUACUGGGCGUAAAGCGUGCGUAGGCGGUUUUUUAAGUCGGAUGUGAAAUCCCCGAGCUUAACUUGGGAAUUGCAUUAGAUACUGGGAAGCUAGAGUAUGGGAGAGGAUGGUAGAAUUCCAGGUGUAGCGGUGAAAGGCGUAGAGAUCUGAAGGAAUGCCGAUGGCGAAGGCAGCCAUCUGGCCUAAUACUGACGCUGAGGUACGAAAGCAUGGGGAGCAAACA